This is a non-coding RNA of Oryctolagus cuniculus (rabbit), 144 nucleotides long. Lineage: Eukaryota; Metazoa; Chordata; Mammalia; Lagomorpha; Leporidae. The record is from Rfam.
GCGGUUAAGCCGGGAAAAGCGAGGCUAGUUUGGGAGGAAAGAGAACCCUUGGGGAAAACACCCGGAGCCUGCCUAUACUCUGGCCGGAGCAUCCCGGCGCCCAGUUGAGGGAGAAAGAGGAAUGGAAAUGGGGAGGGUUCGGAU